UCUGGACUUGGUUUUAUGCUAAAAUAAUUGUCUUAUGAUUCAAGUGUUUACAAACCAAGAUUGCAGUAUGCCGCUCUAUGUAAUGCUCAGCAUUAUUGCAGCAGUUGACACAAUUGCAGUUGCUGCAAACCUCUCCGUUGGCAAAGCAGUCACAGUAGCUGCCUUACCGGGCACCUGUGGCUUCCGACUUCCGUUCCCCUUGGUUGAUACUGGUCUCAGAAUACAGAGGACAAACCGCCUGCUGCAUCAAUAGAAAGUGGACAUGUUAACCUAUAUGCAGUUAAAUAGGUUGGGGGAUUGAAGUUGGAAGCCAUAGAGGGUUUGAAAACUGUGCUGAAAUGGCUUGAGACCCUGGACGUUGAUCCAGUUCAAGGUUUUCAUCUCUGCAAUUUAGUUGACUUUGCCAGGAGUCAACUGGCAUAAUGCUGCUGUCUCAUAAUGCAGCAGCAUUAUGAAACAGCGGAGGUUAUAGUUUUUCUAUUGUUAGGUUUACGAUUUG
Gadus chalcogrammus (walleye pollock) is the source of this 499-nucleotide long non-coding RNA. RefSeq lists it as uncharacterized. The record is from RefSeq and is a predicted model, not a curated record. Lineage: Eukaryota; Metazoa; Chordata; Actinopteri; Gadiformes; Gadidae. The transcript has 3 exons.